Non-coding RNA from Microcebus murinus (gray mouse lemur), 1320 nucleotides. The record is from RefSeq and is a predicted model, not a curated record. NCBI's taxonomy places the organism in Eukaryota, Metazoa, Chordata, Mammalia, Primates, Cheirogaleidae.
CCAGGAGCAUUUCCCCAGCUGCUCAACAGAAUGAGAGGCUCACUCAGCACCCAGCUAAAUCCAGGCACCAGGGUAAUAUAGCUGGACAAUAUAGCAUUAAGAGACUUGGAAGUAGAAGACGCCAUACAUCUAACUAUGUAUGGCUGAGUGCUACCCACUCAGCCAUAGCCUCCCUCUCCUUUGUAUCUUCCCAUUGGUCUGUGAACGGGAGGACAAGAAAGAUGCAGACACAGAAUGCAUGGCAGAAGAAGAAAAUUAAAAACCCCAGUUUGCUGGACAGAAAACCAGGAAGGAAGGCUCCAGAAAGCUGGAAAGUACUGGAGUGACCACAGAAAGGAGACAGAUCAAGAUAGUAACCUUAUAAAGUUGAGUCUCAUGCAUCUUUUUAUUGCCAGGGCCUAAUAUAAGCUAUAACAUAGUAGAUAUUUGGUAAAGGUUUGUGGGGUUGAAUUUUUAAAAUCUCAUAAAAAUCCCAAUUUGGGGAUAUUAAUGAUUCCUAAUAUUUUAUUCCAGGAUAGAAUAAUUAAAUAUUACUCUUACAGCACUUUUAUACCCAUUAUAUUCAUAUUACUCUAUGAGUCCUAGUAAAUUUUAGGCUAUAAACAGCAAAAAUACCACAUUAUUAUAUUCUUAGCAAGGGAUCAUUUUAACUUUGGGAUUAGCAAAGACUUUCUGAAGUCCUCUUUUUAAGAAGAAAGAAAUCAUGAAAUAAGUUUUUCUUCUUCAAGCUCUGGACAAUUCCAAGCAUUUCUUGGACAGGAGAAAUGUUCAGUACUAUGCCAUGGAAGUAGGCUAUUUAUUCUUGACCUUAACUACAAAUAAUUUUAUGUUCUCAAGUAUAGAAUGCACAAUUCUCAUAUUUUAUCUCAGCUAGCAUAAACUGUAGGUGUUUUUCUUAUUUAUAAAAAUGUCUUAUCCUUUAUAAAAAUCCUUAAGCUAUUUUUAUAUAGUGAUUAUUCCUGAAAACAUUUGCUUUACACUUAAAAGGGGGCCAUGGUGUUGAUCAGGGGGAAACUAUAAUUGCUUGCCAUACACCUGCAACGAUUUCAAGUAGGCAGGCACAUCUCCAAUUUCUCUGAAUUGUACUAAGAUCUUAUUUGCUGUUCUUGCUAAUCUGUCUUUAUUUUUCCUUUACCCAGAACAAUAACAUUUAUUUCUGCCUGGCCUCAUUUAUGCACAGAUAUUCAAUUUAAUUACAAAGAUAAUCUCACCGGUGACAGGAAAAUAGGUGUAGAAAAUUGGUCUUUUGGAUGAGGCACAGCUGCUACAGAAACAAUUUUAGAAAAGCUUAAGAUUUUAGAAAAGCUAUUAUAUGAAAAA